GAUGAACGCUGGCGGCGUGCCUAAUACAUGCAAGUCGAGCGAACAGACGAGGAGCUUGCUCCUCUGACGUUAGCGGCGGACGGGUGAGUAACACGUGGAUAACCUACCUAUAAGACUGGGAUAACUUCGGGAAACCGGAGCUAAUACCGGAUAAUAUAUUGAACCGCAUGGUUCAAUAGUGAAAGACGGUUUUGCUGUCACUUAUAGAUGGAUCCGCGCCGCAUUAGAUAGUUGGUAAGGUAACGGCUUACCAAGGCGACGAUGCGUAGCCGACCUGAGAGGGUGAUCGGCCACACUGGAACUGAGACACGGUCCAGACUCCUACGGGAGGCAGCAGUAGGGAAUCUUCCGCAAUGGGCGAAAGCCUGACGGAGCAACGCCGCGUGAGUGAUGAAGGUCUUCGGAUCGUAAAACUCUGUUAUUAGGGAAGAACAAAUGUGUAAGUAAUUAUGCACGUCUUGACGGUACCUAAUCAGAAAGCCACGGCUAACUACGUG
This 497-nucleotide ribosomal RNA is filed under the name uncultured bacterium. Its description in RNAcentral is "partial 16S ribosomal RNA". It matches the Rfam family "Bacterial small subunit ribosomal RNA", at positions 28 to 507 of the family's 1533-position model. The record is from RNAcentral.